CCCUUAGAUGUUCUGGGCCGCACGCGCGCUACACUGACGAUGUCAACGAGUCUCUCCUUGGCCGAAAGGUCUGGGUAAUCUUCUGAAACAUCGUCGUGCUGGGGAUAGAUCAUUGCAAUUUUUGAUCUUGAACGAGGAAUUCCUAGUAAGCGCGAGUCAUCAGCUCGCGUUGAUUACGUCCCUGCCCUUUGUACACACCGCCCGUCGCUACUACCGAGUGAAUGGUUUAGUGAGGACUCCUGAUUGGCGCCGCCGCCCCGGCAACGGAGCAGUGGACUGCCGAAAAGUUGUUCAAACUUGAUCAUUUAGAGGAAGUAAAAGUCGUAACA
RNAcentral lists this ribosomal RNA (329 nucleotides) under uncultured eukaryote. Its description in RNAcentral is "partial 18S ribosomal RNA". It matches the Rfam family "Eukaryotic small subunit ribosomal RNA", at positions 1470 to 1796 of the family's 1831-position model. The record is from RNAcentral.